GAUUAAGUUAUUAAGGGCGCACGGUGGAUGCCUUGGCACUAGAAGCCGAUGAAGGACGUUACUAACGACGAUAUGCUUUGGGGAGCUGUAAGUAAGCUUUGAUCCAGAGAUUUCCGAAUGGGGAAACCCAGCAUGAGUUAUGUCAUGUUAUCGAUAUGUGAAUACAUAGCAUAUCAGAAGGCACACCCGGAGAACUGAAACAUCUUAGUACCCGGAGGAAGAGAAAGAAAAUUCGAUUCCCUUAGUAGCGGCGAGCGAAACGGGAAGAGCCCAAACCAAAAAGCUUGCUUGUUGGGGUUGUAGGACACUCUAUACGGAGUUACAAAGGACGACAUUAGACGAAUCAUCUGGAAAGAUGAAUCAAAGAAGGUAAUAAUCCUGUAGUCGAAAAUGUUGUCUCUCUUGAGUGGAUCCUGAGUACGACGGAGCACGUGAAAUUCCGUCGGAAUCUGGGAGGACCAUCUCCUAAGGCUAAAUACUCUCUAGUGACCGAUAGUGAACCAGUACCGUGAGGGAAAGGUGAAAAGCACCCCGGAAGGAGAGUGAAAUAGAACCUGAAACCGUGUGCUUACAAGUAGUCAGAGCCCGUUAAUGGGUGAUGGCGUGCCUUUUGUAGAAUGAACCGGCGAGUUACGAUUUGAUGCAAGGUUAAGCAGUAAAUGUGGAGCCGUAGCGAAAGCGAGUCUGAAUAGGGCGUUUAGUAUUUGGUCGUAGACCCGAAACCAGGUGAUCUACCCUUGGUCAGGUUGAAGUUCAGGUAACACUGAAUGGAGGACCGAACCGACUUACGUUGAAAAGUGAGCGGAUGAACUGAGGGUAGCGGAGAAAUUCCAAUCGAACCUGGAGAUAGCUGGUUCUCUCCGAAAUAGCUUUAGGGCUAGCCUCAAGUGAUGAUUAUUGGAGGUAGAGCACUGUUUGGACGAGGGGCCCCUCUCGGGUUACCGAAUUCAGACAAACUCCGAAUGCCAAUUAAUUUAACUUGGGAGUCAGAACAUGGGUGAUAAGGUCCGUGUUCGAAAGGGAAACAGCCCAGACCACCAGCUAAGGUCCCAAAAUAUAUGUUAAGUGGAAAAGGAUGUGGCGUUGCCCAGACAACUAGGAUGUUGGCUUAGAAGCAGCCAUCAUUUAAAGAGUGCGUAAUAGCUCACUAGUCGAGUGACACUGCGCCGAAAAUGUACCGGGGCUAAACAUAUUACCGAAGCUGUGGAUUGUCCUUUGGACAAUGGUAGGAGAGCGUUCUAAGGGCGUUGAAGCAUGAUCGUAAGGACAUGUGGAGCGCUUAGAAGUGAGAAUGCCGGUGUGAGUAGCGAAAGACGGGUGAGAAUCCCGUCCACCGAUUGACUAAGGUUUCCAGAGGAAGGCUCGUCCGCUCUGGGUUAGUCGGGUCCUAAGCUGAGGCCGACAGGCGUAGGCGAUGGAUAACAGGUUGAUAUUCCUGUACCACCUAUAAUCGUUUUAAUCGAUGGGGGGACGCAGUAGGAUAGGCGAAGCGUGCGAUUGGAUUGCACGUCUAAGCAGUAAGGCUGAGUAUUAGGCAAAUCCGGUACUCGUUAAGGCUGAGCUGUGAUGGGGAGAAGACAUUGUGUCUUCGAGUCGUUGAUUUCACACUGCCGAGAAAAGCCUCUAGAUAGAAAAUAGGUGCCCGUACCGCAAACCGACACAGGUAGUCAAGAUGAGAAUUCUAAGGUGAGCGAGCGAACUCUCGUUAAGGAACUCGGCAAAAUGACCCCGUAACUUCGGGAGAAGGGGUGCUCUUUAGGGUUAACGCCCAGAAGAGCCGCAGUGAAUAGGCCCAAGCGACUGUUUAUCAAAAACACAGGUCUCUGCUAAACCGUAAGGUGAUGUAUAGGGGCUGACGCCUGCCCGGUGCUGGAAGGUUAAGAGGAGUGGUUAGCUUCUGCGAAGCUACGAAUCGAAGCCCCAGUAAACGGCGGCCGUAACUAUAACGGUCCUAAGGUAGCGAAAUUCCUUGUCGGGUAAGUUCCGACCCGCACGAAAGGCGUAACGAUUUGGGCACUGUCUCAACGAGAGACUCGGUGAAAUCAUAGUACCUGUGAAGAUGCAGGUUACCCGCGACAGGACGGAAAGACCCCGUGGAGCUUUACUGUAGCCUGAUAUUGAAAUUCGGCACAGCUUGUACAGGAUAGGUAGGAGCCUUUGAAACGUGAGCGCUAGCUUACGUGGAGGCGCUGGUGGGAUACUACCCUAGCUGUGUUGGCUUUCUAACCCGCACCACUUAUCGUGGUGGGAGACAGUGUCAGGCGGGCAGUUUGACUGGGGCGGUCGCCUCCUAAAAGGUAACGGAGGCGCUCAAAGGUUCCCUCAGAAUGGUUGGAAAUCAUUCAUAGAGUGUAAAGGCAUAAGGGAGCUUGACUGCGAGACCUACAAGUCGAGCAGGGUCGAAAGACGGACUUAGUGAUCCGGUGGUUCCGCAUGGAAGGGCCAUCGCUCAACGGAUAAAAGCUACCCCGGGGAUAACAGGCUUAUCUCCCCCAAGAGUUCACAUCGACGGGGAGGUUUGGCACCUCGAUGUCGGCUCAUCGCAUCCUGGGGCUGUAGUCGGUCCCAAGGGUUGGGCUGUUCGCCCAUUAAAGCGGUACGCGAGCUGGGUUCAGAACGUCGUGAGACAGUUCGGUCCCUAUCCGUCGUGGGCGUAGGAAAUUUGAGAGGAGCUGUCCUUAGUACGAGAGGACCGGGAUGGACAUACCUCUGGUGUACCAGUUGUCGUGCCAACGGCAUAGCUGGGUAGCUAUGUGUGGACGGGAUAAGUGCUGAAAGCAUCUAAGCAUGAAGCCCCCCUCAAGAUGAGAUUUCCCAACUUCGGUUAUAAGAUCCCUCAAAGAUGAUGAGGUUAAUAGGUUCGAGGUGGAAGCAUGGUGACAUGUGGAGCUGACGAAUACUAAUCGAUCGAAGACUUAAUCAA
This 2923-nucleotide ribosomal RNA is filed under the name Staphylococcus aureus. RNAcentral's name for it is "23S ribosomal RNA". It matches the Rfam family "Bacterial large subunit ribosomal RNA". Lineage: Bacteria; Bacillati; Bacillota; Bacilli; Caryophanales; Staphylococcaceae. The record is from RNAcentral.